This 82-nucleotide transfer RNA is filed under the name Penaeus japonicus. Its description in RNAcentral is "tRNA-Ser". It matches the Rfam family "tRNA". From Rfam's summary of the family: Transfer RNA (tRNA) molecules are approximately 80 nucleotides in length. Lineage: Eukaryota; Metazoa; Arthropoda; Malacostraca; Decapoda; Penaeidae. The record is from RNAcentral.
GCAGUGAAUGCCGAGUGGUAGAGGCGUCUGACCAGAAAUCAGAUGGGAUCUUCCCGUGUAGGUUCGAAUCCUACUCACUGCG